CUACGUGCCAGCAGCCGCGGUAAUACGUAGGUCCCGAGCGUUGUCCGGAUUUAUUGGGCGUAAAGCGAGCGCAGGCGGUUAGAUAAGUCUGAAGUUAAAGGCUGUGGCUUAACCAUAGUACGCUUUGGAAACUGUUUAACUUGAGUGCAAGAGGGGAGAGUGGAAUUCCAUGUGUAGCGGUGAAAUGCGUAGAUAUAUGGAGGAACACCGGUGGCGAAAGCGGCUCUCUGGCUUGUAACUGACGCUGAGGCUCGAAAGCGUGGGGAGCAAACAGGACUAGAUACCCUGGUAGUCCACGCCGUAAACGAUGAGUGCUAGGUGUUAGACCCUUUCCGGGGUUUAGUGCCGCAGCUAACGCAUUAAGCACUCCGCCUGGGGAGUACGACCGCAAGGUUGAAACUCAAAGGAAUUGACGGGGGCCCGCACAAGCGGUGGAGCAUGUGGUUUAAUUCGAAGCAACGCGAAGAACCUUACCAGGUCUUGACAUCCCUCUGACCGCUCUAGAGAUAGAGUUUUC
RNAcentral lists this ribosomal RNA (517 nucleotides) under uncultured bacterium. RNAcentral describes it as "bacterial SSU rRNA". It matches the Rfam family "Bacterial small subunit ribosomal RNA", at positions 501 to 1016 of the family's 1533-position model. The record is from RNAcentral.